RNAcentral lists this ribosomal RNA (828 nucleotides) under uncultured bacterium. Its description in RNAcentral is "bacterial SSU rRNA". It matches the Rfam family "Bacterial small subunit ribosomal RNA", at positions 1 to 826 of the family's 1533-position model. The record is from RNAcentral.
GAAUUCGCCCUUAGAGUUUGAUCCUUGCUCAGGACGAACGCUGGCGGCGUGCUUAACACAUGCAAGUCGAACGGAGGUUACUUUGAAACGUAAGUCGAUAAGUAACCUUAGUGGCGGACGGGUGAGUAACGCGUGGAUAACCUGCCUGACUGACCGGGACAACACUUGGAAACGGGUGCUAAUACCGGAUACGCUCAUUGAUACGCAUGUAUUAAUGAGGAAAGGGGAAACUCGCAGACAGAUGGGUCCGCGUCCCAUUAGCUAGUUGGAGGUGUAAUGGACCCCCAAGGCGACGAUGGGUAGCCGGCCUGAGAGGGUGAACGGCCACACUGGAACUGAGACACGGUCCAGACUCCUACGGGAGGCAGCAGUGGGGAAUCUUCCGCAAUGGGCGAAAGCCUGACGGAGCAACGCCGCGUGAGUGAAGAAUGCCUUCGGGUUGUAAAACUCUGUCUUCAGGGAAGAAACAAAUGACGGUACCUGAGGAGGAAGCCCCGGCUAACUACGUGCCAGCAGCCGCGGUAAAACGUAGGGGGCGAGCGUUGUCCGGAAUUACUGGGCGUAAAGGGCGCGUAGGCGGUUAUCCAAGUCAGGGGUGAAAACCCUGGGCUCAACUCAGAGCCUGCCUCUGAAACUGGGUGACUUGAGGGCAGGAGAGGGGAGUGGAAUUCCCAGUGUAGCGGUGAAAUGCGUAGGUAUUGGGAGGAACACCAGUGGCGAAGGCGGCUCUCUGGCCUAACCCUGACGCUGAGGCGCGAAAGCGUGGGGAUCAAACAGGAUUAGAUACCCUGGUAGUCCACGCCGUAAACGAUGGGUGCUAGGUGUAGG